AAAUUACACUGAUUUCUUAGAAGUUUGAUUCUUCGAUUCUAUAGAGUACGUAUACGAGAGCACAAUUUGAAGCAAUGGGUCUUAAACCAGACCAGUUCGUUAAAGGCGUCGAUGAAAACCUUUUCUGUGCAAUAUGCCAUGAAGUAUUUCAAGAUCCUGUGAGCUGCAAAGAUGGUCACACAUUCUGCAAGGACUGCAUUCACGAAUGGCUCAAGACGAACGAGAAAUGUCCCAUGGACAAUGGUUUCUUGACGAAGGAACAUCUUGUCCGUGUUUUAAUGGCCAGUGGAAUCAUAGACAAUCUCGAAGUCUACUGUCAUCCACGUACAACACAACACAAGCCAAGCGAAGGAUGUGACUGGGUUGGCAAACUACAACAUCUUACGCAGCACAGAAAGACUUGUCCUUUCCAGGAGGUCCAGUGUUCUCAUGUAGGAUGCAACCAAACAAUGUUGAGAAGAGAACUGGAGCACCACGAAGAGAUAUGUGACUUCAGAAAAGUGGAGUGCGAAAUAUGUGGUGUGGCAAUACUUCAACACGAAAAAGAUAAGCACACAAGAGACGACUGUUUACAGGCCCUGAUAUGUUGCCCUAACCGAUGCAGCGAUAAGCUGCAGCAACUCCUAAUUGUUAAGGUUAAAAGGAUCAAUAUGCCUGAUCAUCUGUCUAACGUCUGUCCAAAGGCUCAAGUCGACUGUCCAUACAAAGAGCAAGGAUGUGAAGUGAAUGUUGAGCGCCAAGAUGUCGAGAAACACGUACAAGAAAACAUGGCAGAACACAUGAUGUUACUUGCUAAGGAAUGCUCGUCGCUAAAGAAACAAUGUUCUUUCCUUUCCUUGAGGUGUUCCACGUUCGCCCAAGAGAACUUAGAGUUGAAGAAUGAGUUACAACAAAUGAAGGACGAAUUCCAUAAUCAACUCUUAGGAAACAGUAGCUACACCUGGGUUGUACGUGACUAUCCUAACCUGGCCAAGAAUCCCCCCAAUGGACCUUCUAUCAAAAGUCCACCUUUCUGGUUACGUGGGAAUAAAUGGUGCAUUAGUUUGUACCCAAAUGGAAACACUAAAGAUGAAACAGGGUUCGUAUCACUGUUUCUGAAGAAGAUUGAAGAAGAUUCACAGUCAUUAAGUAACACCAUGCCCAUUACAUCCCACAAUGAAACAGAAAUUCCUUACAGACUGACUGUGAUUAGCCAAAAGCCUGAUACUGAUGAUGUCUCUCGUGAAUCAAAAAGCAUAUUUACUGAACCGAAAAACACAUGGGGAUGGACGAAAUUCAUGAAAUCAUCUGAUGCGUUUUCGCCGUCUUAUUGUAACAAUGGCAGAUUAAUCAUCCAGUGUACAAUACUCCCAAAUAAACCAGAAUAGGUUCCAUGUCACACAGAUGAUGUACUUUCUACAGCCUACUGUAACAGUACCAAUGGUAAUCUAACCAUCCAAUGUACAAUACAGCCAGAUAAACCACAAUAGGUUCUAUGUUACACAGAUG
This 1488-nucleotide unclassified non-coding RNA is filed under the name Actinia tenebrosa (Australian red waratah sea anemone). RNAcentral describes it as "tNF receptor-associated factor family protein DDB_G0290931-like, transcript variant X1". Lineage: Eukaryota; Metazoa; Cnidaria; Anthozoa; Actiniaria; Actiniidae. The record is from RNAcentral.